Molecule: non-coding RNA, 85 nt
Organism: Pangasius djambal
Lineage: Eukaryota; Metazoa; Chordata; Actinopteri; Siluriformes; Pangasiidae
Source: the annotation of a GenBank genome assembly
GCAGUCGUGGCUUAAUGGUUAGAGAGUCGGACUUGUAACCUGAAUGUGAAUCUGUAGGUCGUGCGUUAGAGUCUCAGCUCCGGCA